RNAcentral lists this small nuclear RNA (275 nucleotides) under Chinchilla lanigera (long-tailed chinchilla). RNAcentral describes it as "7SK RNA (ENSCLAG00000021961.1)". It matches the Rfam family "7SK RNA". From Rfam's summary of the family: 7SK was discovered as an abundant small nuclear RNA in the mid-70s but a possible function has only recently been suggested. Two independent studies have found that 7SK RNA binds the CDK9/cyclin T complex (known as elongation factor P-TEFb). Lineage: Eukaryota; Metazoa; Chordata; Mammalia; Rodentia; Chinchillidae. The record is from RNAcentral.
GGACGUGAGGGCGAUCUGGCUGUGAUAUCUGUCACCCCAUUGAUUGCCAGGGUGGAUGCGGCUGAUCUGGCUGGCUAGGCGGGUGUCCCCUUCCUCCCUCAGCGCUCCAUGUGCGUCCCUCCCGAAGCUGCUCGCUCGGUGGAAGAGGACGACCAGCCUGACAGAGGAGGACCGGUCCUCGGUCAGGGGUGGAGGAGAGCUGCACUCCCCUGUGAGAACCUCCAAACAGGCUCUCAGAAAUGUGUACUCCGGGUUGAGAGUCAAGCAUGCGUUGA